Molecule: RNA transcript, 4464 nt
Organism: Helianthus annuus (common sunflower)
Lineage: Eukaryota; Viridiplantae; Streptophyta; Magnoliopsida; Asterales; Asteraceae
Exons: 7
Source: RefSeq, a predicted model, not a curated record
ACAUCAGAACAUUUUCUCUGUAAACCCUAAACUACAAACGCCGCUUUCAUUCUUUUCAUCUAUCUUUGUGUUUUCUCCUCUCCAUUGAAGCCGCUUCGAUUCUUUGAGGUAUCCUACAAUCCUCAACUCGAACCCUAAUUUGUGGUCCAAUUGCUUUUAUUGUUAAUUGUAUGUUAUUAUGAAUUUGGGUUUUGUUGUUUUUUUUGAACAAUGGGUUUUGAUAAGAAGAGAGCGACAGAUAAAGGUGGUGUCGCAGACAUGGCGACGACUUUUCUGCUCAACUUGCUAGGGUUCCGACACUAUGUUCAUGAGUUCCUUCACUUUGAAGUUUAAGAUCUCUCACUUCGUGAAGUUCAUCUGCCCCUCAAUUUUUAGUUUUCUAGCAUGUAAGUGUUUAUGUGUUUGCAGAACAGGGUUUUGUUCUUUAUGUUGUCACAAUUGUCGUUUGUUCUGUGAAUAGCAAACUUGAAACCCUAAUUCGAAGGAUGGUCAGUAUUCGAUUUCCCCAAUUUUGAUUUUGCAUUUUAUUACAUUUGGUUUUCUGUAUUUUGCUUUUUUUUAAUUGUUUUUGUAGUUUUGGUUUUCAGUUUAGGAUCAUUGAUAAACACACUACUUUUUGUUAAGGACUUGAUUGAAUCAUUCUUGAGUUUCAAUAAUUUUUUUCAUGUGCUUAGCUUGAAUCUAAGAUGAUAGAUGGUAAUAAAUGAUUGUUUCAUGUAAAAAGGAUAUGCACCCUACACGACUCGCAUAUUUACUUACGGUUAUUUAUAUACCAUAUACUGGGUGACAAAAGAUUCAUUAGGGAUUUAUCAUUAUUUUCUUGAACCUUUCGAAUUCGUUUAUUAGAUUGUUAUUAUUAUUUUUGUAUUUUAUUUACAUUAAUAUUGCAGCUGGAAAUUUUGAGUUUGCUGCUGGUGAACACUACAAGAAAUUGGGGUGUUUACCCACACAUAAUUUACCUACACAUGUAAAUGUGUAGGUAUUUACCUACACAUGUUUGUAUAUGUGUGGGUAAUAGUUGAUGAUAUAUUUUCACAAUGAUUAACACUUAAUAUGUGUUGGUAAUACAUUUUUGCCACACUUGGUGUUGGUGGGAAAAUUUCCCCUCCAAAAUUGCCUACACAUGUAGCAAAUUUUCGUCAUGUGUAGCUAAAUUAUCUACACAUAUUUAAAAAAACUAAUACAUAUGUAGGUAAAUGAUUAUGUUUACUAACACAUAAGAAUUUAAAAAAAUAUGUAGAUAAACUAAGUUAAUAUAUACUUUUUUUUUUUUUUGAAAAUGACAUGGCAAAUUAAAUACCUACACAUGAUUAAAAAUAUACAAUAUGUGUAGAUAUUACAUGCCUAUAAAGUAAGUAAAUAUAUAUUUUUAGAUGAUGUGACAAAACAAAUAUCUACACAUAUUUAAAAAUGUACAAUAUGUGUAGAUAUUGAAUACAUAUAAAAUAAAUAAUUAAAUCUUUUUUAAGAUGACGUGGCAAAAAAUACCUACACAUAUUUAGAAAUGUACAAUAUGUGUAGAUAUUGAACACAUAAAAAAUAGGGUCAUUUACAUAUAUCCCCUUAUUAAAGUCACUUAUUACAUAUUUACCCAAUUCUUAAAAUCAAUUACAUAUAUAUAUAUAUAUACAUAUUUCCCCUCCUUAAUCUAUAUAUAUUACAUAUUUAUCCAUUUCAGUAAAAUUACUAUUAUUAAAUUACUAUUAUACUCUUAAUAAAACUCAUUCUAAGUUCUAAUAUUAAUUAUUAAUAUCUUUUAAUAGAAGGAUGAAAAUGAAUAGUCUUUUGAUCCUGGUCAUCCAUGUGUAUUAACUUGGGUUAAUUUGGGUUAUUGGCCCAUCUUGUGUCAUCUCAGUCUUCUUACGCGUGUAAAGAAAAAGGCCACGCUCACCUUUUUCCCCACCAGCACACAAAACUCAGUGAAUUACCAACCAUAAAAGGGUUAUUGGAUUUUAUCACCCUCAACUAUCGGUCUUUGACCGUUGCCACCCGCAACUAACACUUUUGGCACCUAGCACCCCCAACUUGACUUUUUGUUUGUAAUGGCACCACCCAGUUAAAUCUCCACUAACUGAGUUUGUCUUUUGUCCCACGUGGCACAACCAAGCUUACAUGAACAGGAUUACAUGGCGAUUACGUGUCACUGUAUCUCUAUUCAUCUCCCUCACACAAAACACACACACACACACACACACACACAAAACACGCACACCAUCAUCAUCAUUCUCUUUCUUCUCUGCAAGUGAUCAUCGGUCAAACCCAACCAGCUCAAGCAAUUAAUGAAAUCUCACUCAAAAAUCAUAAAACCCAUGUUUUUAACAAGACUAUAAAUCUGUUACAUCUCACUCACAAAUCACAAACACCCAUCUUUGAACAUUCUCAACUGCUAUCGUAAGAGAUGAUUCAAUCUGAAGUUCUACAACAUACCCAUCUCGAUCGUUUCAUCUACAGAUGAAAAUCUCGCAUCUGCGCUUCAAUUAAGGGAGAUUGAAGAGGAAUGGGGCGGAAUUGGGGGUUAGGGUUUUGGUGUAUUGGCCUGAUUCGAUUGAUUGGAUGAGGGUUUGGAUUGAGGUUUGAAGGGGUGUGGAAAUAGGUGGGGUUUGAUUGGGAGGAAGGGUGCAAUGGAGAAGACGAAGCUCGUAGGUGCGGUGGGUUUGCAGGAUCGCCAUUAAAGAGAAUGAUGAUGAUGGUGUGUGUGUUUUGGAGUUGUCUGUGUUAUAAAGAAGGAGAUGAGGUUUACAUACACAUCAUUUCCACGUAAUCAUCUCCAACUCAGCAAACUUGUGCCACGUCAAAAAAAAAAAAAAAAACAAACUCAGCUAGUGGAGAUUUAACUGGGUGGUGCCAUUGCAAACAAAAAGUCAAGUUGGGGGUGCCGGGUGUCAAAGUGUUAGUUGCGGGUGGCAACAGCCUUUGGUGAUAAAAUCCAAUAACCCACCCUAAAAACCAGAACAAAGGAAGCCGGUGGUGUGCGUAGCGUAACCCGGAAUAUGGACAGCCGGAGGCGAUGGAGGGUGGAGAGGAUGAAGGAAACGGAGGAGUUGCCGGCGGGAGUUUGGGAAUAACGGAAAUGCCUCCGGUGACCGUCCGUCAGCGUUCUUCAUAACGUUUGAUUUUUCUGUUUAGCAAUUAGGGUUCCAAUUUCAGUGUUCUUCACUCCGAUUGUAGGUGCGCUUGAUGCUUACUAUUGAUUGUGGUUGGAAAAAGGGUUGCACUGAUGCAGAGCUCAAGAAUGCUUACAAGAAGCUUUCACUGAGAUGGAACCCAGAUUGUUGUUCUGCAUUAGGAAACUUAAACAUGUGGAAGAAGCAAAGAAUAAGUUUCAGGCAAUACAAGAAGCCUAUUCUGAUAUUUGUGUUAAUAAGUUGUUCACUUGCAAUUUUGUGUUUCAUAAUUGAUAAUGUCGCAAUGAAGUGCAGUGGUGAUCAUCAUGCCUAUCAUUUUUUUGUUGCUUUGGGAUGGCUUAUAGAAUACAUGUCUUUCCAAUCACAUGAUAUGCAAAGAGGUCCAGGAGAGUCAGUGAAUCACAUGUUUAUUGUACUAAUAGCACCCAUUUUCUUCUUUAUAUUAAUUUACGUUUUUACCCCUCGCUGAUAUUUUGACAGCAAGGAUGGUGUGAUAGUGUUGGAUCUAUUGAAGAAAUUCUACUGGCAAGAAAGUCAUUGCUACCGUAUUCAAGAAAACAACAGGUAUGCCAAAGAAGAGCAAGAACAUGGCAUCAAGAAUCAGUUAAAAUCUACUGGCAAGAAAGUCAUUGCUUCAAAUCUUCAUUCCGAUUUAACAAAUGAGAAAGUGGCCCAAUCUCAAUCUGACGGCUUUGAUUCUACUCCUAUCAAGUCAACUACCAUUCAAGAAGUUCCUGCUUUGUUGUCUGUCAAGUCAAAGCCCAAGUCAAAACCAGUAAAGGAUUCGGUUCAGUCAAGAUCUCAUAGCAAUCCCAAAGAGAGGUCCACAAGUUUGGGUAUUCAGGGAAAGAAACGGCUAUCACUUCCCAGUAACGGGAAAGGUGUUGGGAGCUCAAAUAGCAAGGUUUCACAACCGACAAAAGCCAAUUAAGAUAUUUUUCAAGUCAAAUGGAAGUCAACAAGAUCAUAUAAACAACUGCUGAUGGAUGCUUGUAUAUACAUGAGUUAUUUAGCGCAUCAAGUUGCAACCGAAUUGCUGAGAUGUUUUCUCAAUAAUUAUUACAAUGUUCUUUAGUAUGUUGUGUCUGUCGGAUGGUGUGUCAUUACUUUGUAACUACCAAUGUGUAUGUUGUAUUACCGGACAUUUGUUUGGGUACCAGAUGAGAUGGACAUCAAGCACUAAAGUGGGUGCUUGGUGUAUGUUGAUGAAGUUCAUUUGUAGUUUUGAGUUUUUCUUGUUCAAGUAUGUAUCAGGUAAUUUAUAGUUUGUUCUUACUUAAGUCAAUAAUUCAUAAUUGUGCUGAAUGGACAAUAAAUAUGACCAUAUAUAUUUAUAUUA